UACAGAAGGAGCAAGUGUUAUUCGGAAUAAUUGGGCGUAAAGGGCGUGUAGGCUGUUGUUUGCUGUUGUUUGUGAAAAUCCAAAGCCCACCUUUGGCUGUGCAUUCAAAACGAAGCAACUUGAGUAUAAGAGGGGAAAAUAGAAUUUCUAGUGGAGAGGUUAAAUUCUUAGAGAUUAGAAGGAAUACCAAAAGCGAAGGCAAUUUUCUGGCUUAUUACUGACGCUGAGGCGCGAAAGCGCGGGGAGCAAACGGG
Molecule: ribosomal RNA, 254 nt
Filed under: uncultured bacterium
Lineage: Bacteria
Description: partial 16S ribosomal RNA
Rfam family: Bacterial small subunit ribosomal RNA
Source: RNAcentral